RNAcentral lists this ribosomal RNA (797 nucleotides) under bacterium enrichment culture. RNAcentral's name for it is "bacterial SSU rRNA". It matches the Rfam family "Bacterial small subunit ribosomal RNA", at positions 55 to 866 of the family's 1533-position model. The record is from RNAcentral.
AUGCAGUCGAGCGGUAAGGCCUUUCGGGGUACACGAGCGGCGAACGGGUGAGUAACACGUGGGUGAUCUGCCCUGCACUUCGGGAUAAGCCUGGGAAACUGGGUCUAAUACCGGAUAUGACCUCCUAUCGCAUGGUGGGUGGUGGAAAGAUUUAUCGGUGCAGGAUGGGCCCGCGGUCUAUCAGCUUGUUGGUGGGGUAAUGGCCUACCAAGGCGACGACGGGUAGCCGACCUGAGAGGGUGACCGGCCACACUGGGACUGAGACACGGCCCAGACUCCUACGGGAGGCAGCAGUGGGGAAUAUUGCACAAUGGGCGAAAGCCUGAUGCAGCGACGCCGCGUGAGGGAUGACGGCCUUCGGGUUGUAAACCUCUUUCAGCAGGGACGAAGCGCAAGUGACGGUACCUGCAGAAGAAGCACCGGCUAACUACGUGCCAGCAGCCGCGGUAAUACGUAGGGUGCAAGCGUUGUCCGGAAUUACUGGGCGUAAAGAGUUCGUAGGCGGUUUGUCGCGUCGUUUGUGAAAACCAGCAGCUCAACUGCUGGCUUGCAGGCGAUACGGGCAGACUUGAGUACUGCAGGGGAGACUGGAAUUCCUGGUGUAGCGGUGAAAUGCGCAGAUAUCAGGAGGAACACCGGUGGCGAAGGCGGGUCUCUGGGCAGUAACUGACGCUGAGGAACGAAAAGCGUGGGUAGCGAACAGGAUUAGAUACUCCUGGUAGUCCACGCCGUAAACGGUGGGCGCUAGGUGUGGGUUCCUUCCACGGAAUUCCGUGCCGUAGCUAACGCAUUAAGCG